Molecule: ribosomal RNA, 424 nt
Filed under: Verrucomicrobiota bacterium
Lineage: Bacteria; Pseudomonadati; Verrucomicrobiota
Description: Verrucomicrobia bacterium partial 16S ribosomal RNA
Rfam family: Bacterial small subunit ribosomal RNA
Source: RNAcentral
UGAGGAAUAUUGGUCAAUGGGCGAGAGGCUGAACCAGCCAAGUAGCGUGCAGGAUGACGGCCCUAUGGGUUGUAAACUGCUUUUAUAUGGGGAUAAAGUGGGGAACGUGGUCCCUUUUGCAGGUACCAUAUGAAUAAGGACCGGCUAAUUCCGUGCAAGCAGCCGCGGUAAUACGGAAGGUUCGGGCGUUAUCCGGAUUUAUUGGGUUUAAAGGGAGCGUAGGCCGUUUGGUAAGCGUGUUGUUAAAUGUAGGAGCUCAACUUCUAGAUUGCAGCGCGAACUGUCAGACUUGAGUGCGCACAACGUAGGCGGAAUUCAUGGUGUAGCGGUGAAAUGCUUAGAUAUCAUGAAGAACUCCGAUUGCGAAGGCAGCUUACGGGAGCGCAACUGACGCUGAAGCUCGAAGGUGCGGGUAUCGAACAGG